This 353-nucleotide ribosomal RNA is filed under the name uncultured Methanomicrobiales archaeon. Its description in RNAcentral is "bacterial SSU rRNA". It matches the Rfam family "Archaeal small subunit ribosomal RNA", at positions 983 to 1338 of the family's 1478-position model. The record is from RNAcentral. Lineage: Archaea; Methanobacteriati; Methanobacteriota; Methanomicrobia; Methanomicrobiales.
AGGAGGUGCAUGGCCGUCGUCAGUUCGUACUGUGAAGCAUCCUGUUAAGUCAGGCAACGAGCGAGACCCACGCCAACAGUUGCCAGCUCGUCUCCGGGAUGGUGGGGACACUGUUGGGACCGCUCUGCUAAAGAGGAGGAAGGAAUGGGGCAACGGUAGGUCAGCAUGCCCCGAAUUAUCUGGGCUACACGCGGGCUACAAUGGGUGGGACAAUGGGUAUCGACACCGAAAGGUGAAGGCAAUCUCCUAAACCCAUCCGUAGUUCGGAUUGUGGGCUGCAACUCGCCCACAUGAAGCUGGAAUCUGUAGUAAUCGUGUCUCAAAAUGGCACGGUGAACUAUGUCCUGCUCCUU